UUUUAUGACUUUUGAUUGUUGAAAAUAUUGAUCUCAUUUGCUAUAUUCAUGACUUUUAAAUUUUUUUUAGGUUUUAUGACUUUUUACGAGCAACAAAUGUCGUUGGAAAGUAGCUAUACAUUUCCUUCUCCUUUAAUAUUUUAUUCACUGGAUUAUUGUGGGGAUGGUUUGGAUGAGUUGUUUGAGCUUUUUUGGUUCCUUUUUCUCUAUGUAAUGGUUUUUCUGUGUGCUUCUAUGUUUGGGUGCAUGUAAUUUUUUAAUAGCAACUGCAAUUUUUAUUUUUAUUUUUUUCACAGUUUAUAAUUAUAUGUGGUGUCAAAAACAGUCUCUCUACCUUAUCAAGUUAUUGUUAAGGUUGUGUACACCACCUUCCCUAUACCUCACUUGUGGAAGACCUAGCAAAGUACAAAAUAUGAAUGAAGCAAACGAUCAGUAGGCAACUCCAAUGGUUAGGAUUAAUGUUUAUUAUGUUUUGCUACAGUUAUAUCAAGUAUGUUGUUUGCCAGGAGUCCUUUUUGUUCAUUACUGAUUUGUAUUUCGGAUGGAAAUAUAAAAAAUCUUUGUAAUAGAGUACCUUAAUAAUUUAUGAGUAUUGGAAUGAAACUGCUCCAAAUGAAACAAAAUGUAUAUUUAGUGUUCAUAUAGCCCACCUCAAUUGACUUAGAUUUGAAGCAUAGCUUUUUAAAUUUGUUGAUCGUAGUUUUAUGUACAUAGCAUCUUCUUUUUCUUGAUCAAAGUAGGAUCAUUUUUUCAUUAUAUUUGCUAGGUUCAUCAUGUCCAAAACAACUUCUUCUUUUCCUUUGCAAGGUCAGAUCAUUUUGAACUUCUCUCAUUUUUCAUUCCUUCAUUGUUAUGCUAAAUCUUUGAACGAGUUGUAGCUACAAUAGAAUUAUGUGACGGACACAAUACUUUUGAAAUGUAGUUUAUAUGCAUUUUAUAAGUUGUAUAUGUAUAUUAUUACCAAUAUUUAGAAGUAAGAGUUAGAGAGGAUGAACACGGCUAUGAUUAGUUGUACAAAUAGUAUUUAAAAUUGUACUAUAAAACAUAGGGUCAUUUUGUUGGCCUUUUGUGUCUGUGGAUUUAUUUAAUUGGUUAUUGUUACACGUGUAAUAGAUUGUCAUUCGUGUCAAAAAAUAACUCCCUCAAAUGAAUAGAGAAACGGAGACUGGAAUGUUCCAUUCCCAUUUUCUUUACUGUGAUUCUCAAUUUACCCAUUUUCUCAGUUUUUUUCUUCUCUUUCUUCAUUUGGAUCUAUUAGUAUUAGUUUAUUUAUUUACUCUCCUUUUCCAGAUUUGACCUAAUUUUCAAGAUCUAUUUGAUGCUUGCAUUGAGAGGUAAUUAAUUCUCUUCUUACAUUUCUGUUCUCUAAAGUUUAAUGUAUUUGGUAUUAACUUUUAUAUUUGAUGGAUUUUUCUCCUUUUACAUUGUUUUUAUUUAGAUUUUGUUUCAUGAAAAUGGAAAUAAGAUUGAACUUAGAUAGUAGGAGUGCCAGAAAAUAAGAUGAAGAGAUUUUGUUAGGUUGCUUAUGUCAUUUGGUUGAUGUACAUGUUUUGAACUGUGAGUGUAUCUUAGCAUAGUUUUGAGCAUUGAUGACCUCUCUGAAUUUAACCACUCUAUUUGAGAUCCCAUUUCUUGGGUGGGAAGUCUCAAAUUGAAAAUAAAGUUGUGGGUUUGAAGAUCUUAAUGUUAGAAUUUGUGAUAUAUCCCUCCUCAAUUGUUGCUGCACAUGUUUUGUCACCCUUUGCAAUAAAUUUUGAGCGGUCUGUUGUAGCUUGAGGGUAAUCGUCAUAAAAAAAUUGACAUCUUUUUGGGUUCAAAACAAUGUUUUAAUCUCGCACCAACGUGUGACUUUUAGUCUUUUCCAUAAGCGUUCUAACUUGGACAAGUUAUUGCUCAACAUGAUAUCAAAAUCUAAUUAACGAAUGAGGUAUUUAGUCGUAGUGACCUAUUUGAUAAUUCUCAUAGUUGUCAAUAACAACAGCAUACCCAUUCAAAUUCCACAAGUGGAGUAUGAGGAGGAUAAAGUGUAAGAAGACCUUACCUCUACCUCAUGAAAGUAGAGAAAUUGUUUUUGAAAUUUUCAUAGUUGUCCAAUUAUCUUAUUAUGUUGGUAUAAUCGUAUAAGAAGCCUCUUGUAGAAGUAAUUGAAGGAGUUGCAGCAGGAAAAAUUAGUGUUCCCACAAAAAAGUAUUCUGGCACGACAACGGAUGAGGUCACCUACUUUUAUUUCGAAUUCUUAUGGAUUUAACUCCUUUAUGAUUAAAGACGUUUGAUAAACGUGGCAAUUAAUACUUUUGGAUCCUUGCUCGCUUUUAUAAUUAUUCCUCGACUUAGCUAAUGUGGCAGAAAACAAUCAAGGUUUAGAGACAGAACAAGAAGUAGGCUAAACUAUGGGAAGGGUUGAUUCAGAUUCUCUUGAUUUUCAUGUCCUUCAGGUACAAUGACACAUACUUUUUUCAGGUUCUUCAAAUUUUGGCCCCUUUUUGUUCAAAAAGAACCAUAGUGUUCUGUUUAGUGUACUAAUAAUAUUUAGUGACAGAUUAUGGUGUUGUAUAUUGUAUUUAUUGCAUAUUGGAUUUGAUCACUUCUGUUAAGUCUUGGCAAAAAAUAGGUUUAAGUAUACAUUUAUGUAGAUGUGCUAAGGUGAGGAAUUGCAAUCAGUUACUUCCUGAGAUGCAACUGGAAGAGAGAUAUACGGUACACAAAUAAAAUGUAAAGAAAAAGGGCAAGUGCGACAUUUUAUUGUUGUUAGAAUUGGUAGCCAAAUACAUGUGAAUAUGAGAAGAAAAUGCCAAAGCACAUCCUUAUGUUUCUUAAAGCUAAAAGCAAAAAACAUCAUAACCAUGAAGAACAAGAGAAAUGCAGUAUAUUGUUCAUUUAUGCUAUUCUUACAUCUAGAUUGGAAAAAAUAUUAUGCUACUUCUGUCUCACUGUACUUUUCAUUUCAAGGUACACCAACAAUAUGAGUUAAAAGGAGAUGAUCUACGUGGAAAUAACAGACAACCGAUUGAGUUCAAUUCUCACGUUAGCUAUGUCUAAGAUCUGAGGAUUCGAUGAGCAAUUUUGUUAGUCAAUACUGGUGUUAUCUUAUUUUUCAUGUAUGAAAGGCCUAAUUGUCUUAAUUGAGGGUUGCAGUUAAUUAAGUUAUAGACACUAGUAUCUAUAGUUAUGUUGUUAAAGGUUCAGACAAACAUCUCUCUCCUUAAUUGAGGGUUGGAGCAAGUACUUUGGCUAAUUGUUACAACUUAAAUCUGAUUUGUCAUUUUUAGCCUCGUAGGUUGUAGUUAAAUUCACCUUUACAAAGCACGGUGGCAUCUAUCAUUGAUCAACCUUUGUACAUAAUCGACUUUUCCUUGCAUC
Molecule: long non-coding RNA, 3360 nt
Filed under: Solanum tuberosum (potato)
Lineage: Eukaryota; Viridiplantae; Streptophyta; Magnoliopsida; Solanales; Solanaceae
Description: long non-coding RNA (STUB_LNC006207)
Source: RNAcentral